RNAcentral lists this ribosomal RNA (479 nucleotides) under uncultured bacterium. RNAcentral describes it as "bacterial SSU rRNA". It matches the Rfam family "Bacterial small subunit ribosomal RNA", at positions 28 to 465 of the family's 1533-position model. The record is from RNAcentral.
GAUGAACGCUGGCGGCGUGCCUAAUACAUGCAAGUCGAACGCAUUGUGGUUGAAAUGAUAUGAAGAACUUGUUCAGAUUUGAUUUUCAACAUUGCAAUGAGUGGCGAACGGGUGAGUAACACGUGGGAAACCUACCUCUUAGCAGGGGAUAACAUUUGGAAACAAAUGCUAAUACCGUAUAAUAAUUAAAACCGCAUGGUUUUUAAGUUUAAAAGAUGGUCUUGCUAUCACUAAGAGAUGGUCCCGCGGUGUAUUAGUUAGUUGGUGAGGUAAUGGCUCACCAAGACAAUGAUACAUAGCCGAGUUGAGAGACUGACCGGCCACAAUGGGACUGAGACACGGCCCAUACUCCUACGGGAGGCAGCAGUAGGGAUCUUCCACAAUGGACGAAAGUACUGAUGGAGCAACGCCGCGUGUGUGAUGAAGGGUUUCGGCUCGUAAACGACUAGUUGUAAGAGAAGAAUGACAUUGAGAGUAAC